CUCAGUCGGUAGAGCAGAGGACUGAAAAUCCUCGUGUCGGCGGUUCGAUUCCGUCCCGAGCCA
RNAcentral lists this transfer RNA (63 nucleotides) under Paenibacillus terrae. Its description in RNAcentral is "tRNA-Phe". It matches the Rfam family "tRNA", at positions 11 to 71 of the family's 71-position model. From Rfam's summary of the family: Transfer RNA (tRNA) molecules are approximately 80 nucleotides in length. Their secondary structure includes four short double-helical elements and three loops (D, anti-codon, and T loops). Lineage: Bacteria; Bacillati; Bacillota; Bacilli; Caryophanales; Paenibacillaceae. The record is from RNAcentral.